CGGCGAGUGAAGCGGCAAAAGCUCAAAUUUGAAAUCUGGCUCCUUUAGGGGUCCGAGUUGUAAUUUGCAGAGGAUGCUUCGGGAGCGGCCACGGCUUAAGUGCCUUGGAACAGGACGUCAUAGAGGGUGAGAAUCCCGUCUUGAGUCGUUGGUCCGCGCCCAUGUGAAGCUCCUUCGACGAGUCGAGUUGUUUGGGAAUGCAGCUCUAAGCGGGUGGUAAAUUUCAUCUAAAGCUAAAUAUUGGCCGGAGACCGAUAGCGCACAAGUAGAGUGAUCGAAAGGUUAAAAGCACCUUGAAAAGGGAGUUAAACAGCACGUGAAAUUGUUGAAAGGGAAGCGCUUGCGGCCAGACUCGGGUACAGGGUUCAGCGGGUGCGUGUCACCCGUGUACUCCCUGUUUCCCGGGCCAGCAUCAGUUCUGACGGCCGGUCAAAGGCCUCUGGAAUGUGUCGUCUUUCGGGACGUCUUAUAGCCAGAGGUGCAAUGCGGCCUGUUGGGACUGAGGAACGCGCUUCGGCUCGGA
RNAcentral lists this ribosomal RNA (523 nucleotides) under Arthroderma sp. 6808-S3. RNAcentral describes it as "eukaryotic LSU rRNA". It matches the Rfam family "Eukaryotic large subunit ribosomal RNA", at positions 87 to 623 of the family's 3401-position model. Lineage: Eukaryota; Fungi; Ascomycota; Eurotiomycetes; Onygenales; Arthrodermataceae. The record is from RNAcentral.